RNA transcript from Salmo salar (Atlantic salmon), 4803 nucleotides. It is a transcript of the gene named solute carrier organic anion transporter family member 1C1, with no coding region annotated. The record is from RefSeq and is a predicted model, not a curated record. Lineage: Eukaryota; Metazoa; Chordata; Actinopteri; Salmoniformes; Salmonidae.
GAUUCCUAUGAUUGGGUUCUACCUCUCUCAUGGACACUCAUGUUUUUUAGGGGAAGACCUGCAUGUCGACAUGAUCAAAGAGUUCACAUGAGUGGUGGCCUGCGGGUUACUGAUUACUGUAGAAUGGAUGUUAGAGUUUCAGCCAAUCAACAUCCAGGAUCCAAACUACCUGGGCUAUAAUGCCUCUUUAAGAUAAAGGUUUGCUCUUCAACCAAAGUCCUGUCAGUGAAAUCCUCUGCUGCUCUAACACAUCUCUCCAUCUCCUCGUGGGACCUCUGCUGCUGCACUGGUCUCCUGGUUCACUCUACAUUUACCUGUGUCAACUGCAGAGGUCAUCAUGAGUGUUGAAACUAAGGCGCCCCGGGAGCCUUGCUGCUCCAAACUGAAGGUAAUGUUUCGGAGAACGCAUGACUCAACCUUCGCCUCUCCCGAGCCCGUUGGGGUGUUGCAGCGAUGAGACAAGAUCGCAAUUGGAUAUCACAAAAUUGGAGAGCAAAAGGGAGUAAAAAAUCGUGUGAGAAGGAGGCAGGCUCGUCCAUGUGGAUCUAUGUAUUCCUGGGUAACAUGCUGCGUGGGAUUGGAGAGACGCCUGUCAUGCCUUUAGGAGUGUCCUAUCUGGACGACUACGCCAGAAAGGAGAACACUGCCACCUACCUUGAGUGUUUACAGACUGUUGGCAUCCUGGGGCCUGUAUUUGGCUUCAUGUUUGGCUCCUUCUGUGCCAAGAUCUAUGUGGACAUUGGCUCUGUGGAUUUAGAGAGCAUCUCCAUCAACCACAAGGACUCUCGCUGGGUGGGGGCCUGGUGGCUAAGCUUACUGGUAUCUGGCUUCCUGAUGCUCCUGGCUGGGAUUCCAUUUUGGUUCCUCCCCAAUACUCUGGCUAAGCAGGGCAAGAGCCCCAGCAAAAAGAAACAGGAGGACAUACAGGCGAAGAACUCCUCUGACACCCCAGAGGAGGAGCAGGAGCAGGGCAGUUUCCUACCAGAGGACAACACUGAGGAGGAUGCUGUGGUCCCCUGGUGUACGAUGGCAGCCUGGUGUCAGAGUGUAACAGAGACUGCUCCCGCUUGAAUGGGGAGUGGGACCUUGUGUGUUCAGACAACGGCAUCACCAACACUUCCCCCUGCCACAGUCUGCUCCAGCUUUACAGGAUACGGCAAGAACACGGCGCAGCAGCACACUGCCCUCCAAAGCCUGCAAAAAAAUCGCCGGACUGCCCCUUUCCUAGCUCUGCAUGGAACAUCCAGGGUCACAUCCUUGGUGACAUGUGGGGUGACAUCCGGGAUGACCACAGCAUCAUCCUCUGGAAAGGGAGAAAAGAGGGACAUAAUGUAAACAAAUGCAAACCGUAGGUUCUAAACACUGCCAGUUGAAAGGUUCUACUAAGAUGUCAUGACAAAUGGCACCUGUCAGAGUGCUCUCUAAGUGUUACUCACCUGCUUGGAUGUCAGCUGGCAGAGUGGCGAAGACGGCCAUCGUGAGAGUCCUUUCUUCAGGUGUGACAUCCAUAACCUCCAGGAGGGAAGAGAUGGGCUCUGCCUCUGCAUUAGGGGUGAUGUCCACAACCUCCAGGUGGGAAGAAGCCAGAUCUGCCUCUGUGUUAGGGAUAAUGUCUUGAACCUCCAGGUGGGAAGAAGCCUGGUCUGCCUCUGUGUUAGGGGUGAUGUCCACAACCUUUAGGUGGGAAGAAGCCGAGUCUGCCUCUGUGUUAGGGAUAAUGUCUUGAACCUCCAGGUGGGAAGAAGCCUGGUCUGCCUCUGUGUUAGGGGUGAUGUCCACAACCUCCAGGUGGGAGGAAGCCAGGUCUGUGUUAGGGGUGAUGUCCACAAAAUCCAGGUGGGAAGACGCCUGGUCUGCCUCUGGGUUAGGGAUGAUGUCCACAACCUCCAGGUGGGAAGAAGCCGGGUCUGCCUCUGUGUUAGGGAUGAUGUCCACAACCUCCAGGUGGGAAGAAGCCUGUGUUGCCUCUGUAUUAGGGGUGAUGUCCACAACCUCCAGGUGGGAAGAAGCCGGGUCUGCCUCUGGGUUAGGGGUGAUGUCCACAACCUCCAGGUGGAAAGAAGCCUGUGUUGCCUCUGUGUUAGGGGUGAUGUCCACAACCUCCAGGUGGGAAGAAGCCGGGUCUGCCUCUCUGUUAGGGGUGAUGUCCACAACCUUUAGGUGGGAAGAAGCCUGGUCUGCCUCUGUGUUAAGGGUGAUGUCCACAACCUCCAGGUGGAAAGAAGCCGGGUCUGCCUCUGGAUUAGGGGUGACAACAACAAUCCUGAUGAGCUCUACUACUACAAGGCACCAAGAUGUCAUCACAACAGGCAUCUGUCAGAGUGCUCUCUAUUAGUGCUACUCACCUGCUUGGAUGUCAGCUGGUAGUGUGGUGGAGACGGCCACCGCAAGGACAGGGGGGACUGGUAAGGUGGCUGCAGGGGGCUGGAAGCAGCUCUACACCUCGUCCGCCACAAAGGCACAGACAGAUCUCAUAUAAAAAGGGCUUUGGAGGUCAUCCGUGGAGAAGGACUGACUGAUUCUCCCUUCGGAUUGACCACACAGAUUCAAAAGCAGCAGCCUGGGAGAAAGGGAUGUGAGGGGAAGGAGCCGUUAACAUGCUGGAGAGCUUCUCCACCAUGCCCACGGCCAUCCCGCUUAUUAGGAUUGGGUGCUCUGAAUGGCCUUCCUCUGGCUGAAGCCACAGGGCCAGGAGGAGCAUGGGCACCACCUCCACCACCACCUGGGAUGGGCUGAGCAGGUUGCUUUGGGGCUCAUUGGACAGCUUGCCCAGAAUGCUCCUCACAGCUCUCUCCACGAUGGUGUGGACCUUAAGGUCACUGAAAUCAACAGAAAGGAGAAGACAAAGCUAAACGAUAUGCAAUGUGCUCACAGAGAACACUGUCUUAGUCAGUUUCUGCGUAGUUCCAGAUGUGUAGAUAAAUGGAUCAAGUCAUAUGCAGGACAGUACAUGGAACUCACAUGUCAGCUGGCGAGGUGGGGUGGAUGGAGCGGCGAAGCUUGCAGACAGCCUCGUGCUCUAUGUCUAUCAUUUUUAGGCAAGUGUUUACUUCCCAGGCCUGCCGUAGGAAACAUGAAGAAACAGGAAGUCCCAUUAGUGUAAUUUCACAACAGAUCUAUUCUGCUGUACUAACUAGUUGUUGAAAGGCUAGUAAAGAGCUCACUGACUUGUAGUAUGUCUCUAACUCUCAUUCUCUUACCAGCCGGGCGAGGUCGUUCCCCUCCUCCAGGGUUUCUUUCCACAACCUUCAAAUAAAACACAGAGCAAUUCAACGUUCCUGGGUUCUGAUUUUUCUGUUGUUUAUUUUACCCACACCUCCUGGAGUAAUGCUGGUGUUGGCAGGGAAUGGCAGUGAAGGUGAGUGCUGAUGUGGUACUCACCUCUCCCUUAGGGAUUUUUUGCCCUGAGACACCAGCCAGUCGCUCAUGUGCUCCGUGGUGACAUGGGGCGGGAUCUGGCCUUGACUCUGGAGCAGCAGAUAGUGGACCAUGAGCUUCUUCUGCAAGAUCAGGUAAGGUGUGAUACCGUGCCACGAAAUACCAUAUCAUGUGCUUUCAGAAGGGCCUCUCGCAACAUUUCACAACUGCUCAUACCUCACAAUAUGCAAGUGAUAUUAAGAACUUUUAUGACCAACUUCUCUAAACUGUCUUGAAAUAAUGCUUGUUUUUGUGGGAUGAAUCUUACCUGUUUAUUGUAAUAUGCUUCCUCCCAGCAGGCCUGCAGAGUCUGAAAAUAAAGGCUGCUUCUACAGAAUUCCUUUGAAGAGAAUGAAAAUAAUUAUGCUUUGUUAUGCACAUUAUGCACAGGCAUUUACAGUAUGCUAAAAUUAAUUUAUCUUAAGAUUACCUUUGUGGGACCAUAAGUGAACUCCGGAAUGCACCAAACCCUAUCCAUGGUAAGAUGGGGAAGAAAUGCAGCGUUAUAGAUAUACGGGUGCUCUAGAGAUUUACAGGAAUGACUUAAAGUCGUGAAUGAUCAAUGACUGUGGAGUCGUCCAAUAUGCUGCACUUAGAAUUGAGUUGUAGGCUGUGUUUGGCACAAAAUAGAAUGUUUACAUUCUAUUGCUAUGGAGAAAUGGAAUGUGUAGAACCUGUAUAAAUGGGUAUGCUUCUAUGUCUUUAUUUCGUGAAAGAUUAAGCUCUUUAUUUUGUCAUAAUGUGUACAUGAGGAUGUUGGAGCCCAUUCCGAUUCAUGAGGCGGGUAUCCAGGUGCAUGUUGCUUAGACCUACUGAUCCAACCUUGGCUUACAAGUGAAAUUAAUUGUUUAUAUAUGCCUAUACAAAUCUAUUGACCACAUCUCUUUAAAGCAAUGAUUGUCAAUUGAAAAUGUGGUCGUUGUGUUAUCCUGUUGUGCGCCUGGUGUGUCAGAGUCCUCUUAAGCACAUUAUUCCAAUAUUUCCGAGCUCUGAAUUGUAGCUCUGAAAAGGUACACUUUUGCAAAGCUACUCGGUUAAAAAUAAGAGUAUGAAUGACAAUAAACGUAUUACUUGGAUUAUAUGCAUAAUAGUGUAGUAAACAAUAUCGCUCAGCAUGGGAACUUUUGGUGUGGGGGAAGUAUCCGUUAUGUCUCCAUGGCGCGUAAAGACCAUCACUUCGUUGUCUUGUUGGUAAUAGUAAAAAUGCAUGACAGUGCGCAUUGUAAUAGUCGAACAGUUGUUUUUCAUUUUGUUUCUCACAAACAGAUAUUUGAGAAUGGAAUUUUGUACAGUUGUACCUAUGACGCACAGACACACUAAAGCUGUACAGUGUAGUUUGAGAAGUCAGUUUAAUUUAUUUGCAGAUCGAAAGAUGUAACAUUUGAA